CAGUCGCCGCGGUAAUACAGAGGGUGCGAGCGUUAAUCGGAUUUACUGGGCGUAAAGCGUGCGUAGGCGGCUUCUUAAGUCGGAUGUGAAAUCCCUGAGCUUAACUUAGGAAUUGCAUUCGAUACUGGGAAGCUAGAGUAUGGGAGAGGAUGGUAGAAUUCCAGGUGUAGCGGUGAAAUGCGUAGAGAUCUGGAGGAAUACCGAUGGCGAAGGCGACUAUCUGGGCCAACACUGACACUGAGGCACGAAAGCGUGGGGAGCAAACAGGAUUAGAUACCCCGGUAGUCCCUGUCUCUUAUAC
This 301-nucleotide ribosomal RNA is filed under the name uncultured bacterium. RNAcentral describes it as "partial 16S ribosomal RNA". It matches the Rfam family "Bacterial small subunit ribosomal RNA", at positions 509 to 807 of the family's 1533-position model. The record is from RNAcentral.